AUUGAACGCUGGCGGCAGGCCUAACACAUGCAAGUCGAGCGGAUGAAGGGAGCUUGCUCCUGGAUUCAGCGGCGGACGGGUGAGUAAUGCCUAGGAAUCUGCCUGGUAGUGGGGAUAACGUUCGGGAACGGGCGCUAAUACCGCAAACGUCCCGGGGGAGAGAGUGGGGGGUUUUUGGACCUCACGCUAUCAGAUGAAGCUAGGUCGGGUUAGCUAGUUGGUGGGGUAAAGGGCCACCAAGGCGACGAUCCGUAACUGGUCUGAGAGGAUGAUCAGUCACACUGGAACUGAGACACGGUCCAGACUCCUACGGGAGGCAGCAGUGGGGAAUAUUGGACAAUGGGCGAAAGCCUGAUCCAGCCAUGCCGCGUGUGUGAAGAAGGUCUUCGGAUUGUAAAGCACUUUAAGUUGGGAGGAAGGGCAGUAAGUUAAUACCUUGCUGUUUUGACGUUACCAACAGAAUAAGCACCGGCUAACUUCGUG
RNAcentral lists this ribosomal RNA (483 nucleotides) under uncultured bacterium. Its description in RNAcentral is "partial 16S ribosomal RNA". It matches the Rfam family "Bacterial small subunit ribosomal RNA", at positions 30 to 507 of the family's 1533-position model. The record is from RNAcentral.